RNAcentral lists this ribosomal RNA (372 nucleotides) under uncultured organism. Its description in RNAcentral is "partial 16S ribosomal RNA". It matches the Rfam family "Bacterial small subunit ribosomal RNA", at positions 527 to 896 of the family's 1533-position model. The record is from RNAcentral.
GUAGGUGGCAAGCGUUGUCCGGAAUUAUUGGGCGUAAAGCGCGCGCAGGCGGUUCCUUAAGUCUGAUGUGAAAGCCCACGGCUCAACCGUGGAGGGUCAUUGGAAACUGGAGAACUUGAGUACAGAAGAGGAAAGCGGAAUUCCACGUGUAGCGGUGAAAUGCGUAGAGAUGUGGAGGAACACCAGUGGCGAAGGCGGCUUUCUGGUCUGUAACUGACGCUGAGGCGCGAAAGCGUGGGGAGCAAACAGGAUUAGAUACCCUGGUAGUCCACGCCGUAAACGAUGAGUGCUAAGUGUUAGGGGGUUUCCGCCCCUUAGUGCUGCAGCUAACGCAUUAAGCACUCCGCCUGGGGAGUACGGCCGCAAAGGCUG